This 253-nucleotide ribosomal RNA is filed under the name uncultured bacterium. RNAcentral describes it as "partial 16S ribosomal RNA". It matches the Rfam family "Bacterial small subunit ribosomal RNA", at positions 524 to 776 of the family's 1533-position model. The record is from RNAcentral.
UACGUAGGCAGCAAGCGUUGUUCGGAGUUACUGGGCGUAAAGGGUGUGUAGGCGGUUGUUUAAGUUUGGUGUGAAAUCUCCCGGCUCAACCGGGAGGGUGCGCCGAAUACUGAAUGACUAGAGUGCGGGAGAGGAAAGUGGAAUUCCUGGUGUAGCGGUGAAAUGCGUAGAUAUCAGGAGGGACACCGGUGGUGUAGACGGCUUUCUGGACCGUAACUGACGCUGAGACACGAAAGCGUGGGUAGCAAACAGG